RNAcentral lists this long non-coding RNA (212 nucleotides) under Felis catus (domestic cat). RNAcentral's name for it is "lncRNA (ENSFCAG00000045608.2)". The record is from RNAcentral. Lineage: Eukaryota; Metazoa; Chordata; Mammalia; Carnivora; Felidae.
AAAAUAGGAUGCCGUCAGCCAGAGAGUGGGGUCAUUCUCUCCUAGGUGGCCUCACCUUCCUCGAGAAUUGUUCUGCCCUACCCUUCACUGAGACCACCGAGGCCCCGGGGGUCGAAGAGGAAGGAGACCUAGAAGAAAAAGAGCCUGCAAGAGAGAAGCCCCGGGAGUUUGCUGACUCAGGAACCGUUGGAUUUCUUCUCGGACAAAUGUGC